This 951-nucleotide non-coding RNA is filed under the name Pan troglodytes (chimpanzee). Lineage: Eukaryota; Metazoa; Chordata; Mammalia; Primates; Hominidae. The record is from Rfam by way of RNAcentral.
AAACGGAUAGGCUCGAUCCUAGCCUUUCUAUUAACUCUUAGUAAGCUUACACAUGCAAGCAUCCCCGCCCGAGUGAAAAUGCCCUCUAGAUCACCCGCAUCAAAAGGAGCAAGUAUCAAGGGCCCACAAAUGCAGCUCAAAACACUUUGCUCAACCACACCCCAACGGGAAACAGCAGUGAUAAAUCUUUAGUAAUAAAUGAAAGUUUAACUAAGCUACGCUGAUAUCUAGGGUUAGUCAAUUUCAUGCCAGCCACCGCAGCCAUACGAUUAACGCAAGCUAAUAGAACUCGGCCUAAAGCGUGUUUAAGGUCUACCCUCAAUAAACCUAAACUCCAUCUAAGUUGUAAAAAACUUUAGCUGAAAUAAAAUAUACUACGAAAGUGGCUUUAGUAUCUUGAAGACACAAUAGCUAAGACUCAAACUGGGAUUAGAUACCCCACUAUGCUUAGCCCUAAACUCUAGUAGUUACAUUAACAAAACCAUUGGUCAGAAUACUACAAGCAAAGGCUUAAAACUCAAAGGACCUGGCAGUGCUUUAUAUCCCUCUAGAGAAGCCUGUUCUAUAAGCUAUAAACCCAAUACACCUCACCACCUCUUGCCCCCAGCCUAUUACCGCCAUCUUCAGCAAACCCUAAAAAGGUUGUAGAGUAAGCACAAGUGUACACAUAAAAAUCUGGUUGGUGUAGCUCAUGAGGUGGCAAGAAUUGGGCUACAUUUUCUAUAUCCAGAAAACAUCAUGACUACCUUUAUGAAAUCUAAUGGCUCAAGGAGGAUGUAGCAGUAAACCCAGAGCAGAGUGCUUGGCCAUGAAGCACGCACCCACUGCCCAUCACCCUCCUCCAGUACUAUUCUAGAGAUUACUAUUACUAAAUACUUUCUACACACGUUGAGAGGAGAUAAGUCGUAACACGGUAAGCAUACUGGAAAGUACAUUUGGGAAAAGUAAAGU